CACCAGACUCCUACGGGAGGCAGCAGUGGGGAAUAUUGCACAAUGGGGGGAACCCUGAUGCAGCGACGCCGCGUGGGCGAGGAAGUAUUUCGGUAUGUAAAGCCCUAUCGGCAGGGAAGAAGAAAUGACGGUACCUGAAUAAGAAGCCCCGGCUAACUACGUGCCAGCAGCCGCGGUAAUACGUAGGGGGCAAGCGUUAUCCGGAUUUACUGGGUGUAAAGGGGGCGCAGACGGCAGCGCAAGCCAGGAGUGAAAGCCCGGGGCCCAACCCCGGGACUGCUCUUGGAACUGCGCGGCUGGAGUGCAGGAGGGGCAGGCGGAAUUCCUGGUGUAGCGGUGAAAUGCGUAGAUAUCAGGAGGAACACCGGUGGCGAAGGCGGCCUGCUGGACUGCGACUGACGUUGAGGCCCGAAAGCGUGGGGAGCAAACAGGAUUAGAUACCCUCGUAU
Molecule: ribosomal RNA, 449 nt
Filed under: uncultured bacterium
Lineage: Bacteria
Description: partial 16S ribosomal RNA
Rfam family: Bacterial small subunit ribosomal RNA
Source: RNAcentral